RNAcentral lists this ribosomal RNA (999 nucleotides) under uncultured soil eukaryote. Its description in RNAcentral is "SSU rRNA". It matches the Rfam family "Eukaryotic small subunit ribosomal RNA", at positions 752 to 1792 of the family's 1831-position model. The record is from RNAcentral.
UUACUGUGAGUAAAACAGAAUGUUCAAAGUAAUCGGCUUGCCGAUUGAAUGUCAAAGCAUGGAAUAACAAGGGAUCGACCACUGUGGCCUCUUUUUGUUGGUUUUCAAGCCUCAGUGUGGUAACUCCGCGCAGGACUUCUCUUGGGCGUUCCUGGGUUCCUACUCAGGUCGUCCUUGUAGAGUCCUGUUGCAUUCGGGAUCAAUAGGAGCGCGGGGAGCAAUCAGUACUUCGGGGUGAGAGGUGAAAUUCAUAGACCCCCGAAAGACUAACAUCAGCGAAAGCCGUUUGCUAUCGCGCUUUCAUUAAUCAAGAACGAGAGAAAGGGGAUCGAAGAUGAUCAGAUACCGUCGUAGUCCUUUCCGUAAAUGAUGCAGACUUGGGAUCGGUCACUGUUCUUCUAGUGACAUGAUCGGCACCUCAUUCCCUGUCGAGAAAUCAAAGUCUUUGUGUUCCGGGGGGAGUAUAUUCGCAAGGCUGAAACUUAAAGGAAUUGACGGAGAACCACCACCAGACGUGGAGUGUGUGGCUUAAUUCGACCCAACACGGGAAAUCUUACCAGGCCAGGACAUGGUAAGGAUUGCCAGAUUGAAAGCUGUUGGGUGCUGAGGAGCAGUCUAUUACUUAUUGGGAUUAUGCAACCCUCAAUUGCAUUGAAACGAGAGCCAAAAGCAGGUCUGUGAUGCUCCUAUAUGUCCUGGGCCGCACGCGCACUACACUGACACAGAAAACGAGCAUUCCGCUUGCGGCCUGCGCCGAAGGGUGCGGGAAAUCUUUGAAACCUGUGUCGUGAUGGGGAUAGAUCAUUGAAAUUAUUGUCCUUGAACGAGGAAUGUCUUGUAGGCGCGUUUCAUCAGAACGCACCGAAUACGUCCCUGGUUCUUGUACACACCGCCCGUCGUUGCCUGUAAUGGCAUGUGAGUAGAACCGUUUGGAGGUUCCGGUGCUUGCAUCGGUCCAAAAUUCGGUAAUACUUGCAUGCUAGAAGAGGCAAAAGUCGU